GACGAACGCUGGCGGCGUGCUUAACACAUGCAAGUCGAACGGAAAGGCCCUGCUUUUGUUGGUUUCUCGAGUGGCGAACGGGUGAGUAACACGUGAGUAACCUCCCCCUGUCUUUGUGAUAACUUCAGGAAACUGGGGCUAUUACCGGGUAUGAUCUCCUGCUGCAUGUUGUGGGUUGGAAAGUUUCGGCGGUUGGGGCUGGACUCGCGGGUUAUCCGCUUCUUUGUGAGGUAGUGGCUGACCAAGGCUUUGACGGGUAGCCGGCCUGAGAGGGUGACCGGGGACAUGGGGACUAAGAGACGGAGCAGAAGGGAACGGGAGGCAGUAGGGGAGAAUAUUGCAGAAUGGGCGGAAGCGAGAGGCAGAGGCGCCGCGAGCGGGAUGACGGCCUUCGAGUGGUAAACCGAUUUCGAAUGUGACGAAGCGUGAGUGACGGUAAUGGGUAAAGAAGCACCGGCUAACUACGUG
This 468-nucleotide ribosomal RNA is filed under the name uncultured bacterium. RNAcentral describes it as "partial 16S ribosomal RNA". It matches the Rfam family "Bacterial small subunit ribosomal RNA", at positions 28 to 507 of the family's 1533-position model. The record is from RNAcentral.